Molecule: ribosomal RNA, 253 nt
Filed under: uncultured bacterium
Lineage: Bacteria
Description: partial 16S ribosomal RNA
Rfam family: Bacterial small subunit ribosomal RNA
Source: RNAcentral
AACGUAGGACACGAGCGUUAUCCGGAAUUAUUGGGCGUAAAGAGCUCGUAGGCGGUUUGUCGCGUCUGCCGUGAAAGUCCGGGGCUCAACUCCGGAUCUGCGGUGGGUACGGGCAGACUAGAGUGAUGUAGGGGAGACUGGAAUUCCUGGUGUAGCGGUGAAAUGCGCAGAUAUCAGGAGGAACACCGAUGGCGAAGGCAGGUCUCUGGGCAUUAACUGACGCUGAGGAGCGAAAGCAUGGGGAGCGAACAGG